GGAGGCGUGCCAGAGAGGCCGAAUGGGCGACACUGGAAAUGUCGUAUAUCCGAAAGGGUAUCAGAGGUUCGAAUCCUCUCGCCUCCGCCA
This 90-nucleotide transfer RNA is filed under the name Candidatus Wildermuthbacteria bacterium. RNAcentral's name for it is "tRNA-Ser". It matches the Rfam family "tRNA". From Rfam's summary of the family: Transfer RNA (tRNA) molecules are approximately 80 nucleotides in length. Their secondary structure includes four short double-helical elements and three loops (D, anti-codon, and T loops). Further hydrogen bonds mediate the characteristic L-shaped molecular structure. tRNAs have two regions of fundamental functional importance: the anti-codon, which is responsible for specific mRNA codon recognition, and the 3' end, to which the tRNAs corresponding amino acid is attached (by aminoacyl-tRNA synthetases). tRNAs cope with the degeneracy of the genetic code in two manners: having more than one tRNA (with a specific anti-codon) for a particular amino acid; and 'wobble' base-pairing, i.e. permitting non-standard base-pairing at the 3rd anti-codon position. The record is from RNAcentral. Lineage: Bacteria; Candidatus Wildermuthiibacteriota.